GAGUAGUGCAGAGGUAGGUGGAAUUCCCGGUGUAGCGGUGGAAUGCGUAGAUAUCGGGAGGAACACCAGUGGCGAAGGCGACCUACUGGGCACCAACUGACGCUGAGGCUCGAAAGCAUGGGUAGCAAACAGGAUUAGAUACCCUGGUAGUCCAUGCCGUAAACGAUGAUUACUAGGUGUUGGAGGAUUGACCCCUUCAGUGCCGCAGUUAACACAAUAAGUAAUCCACCUGGGGAGUACGACCGCAAGGUUGAAACUCAAAGGAAUUGACGGGGGCCCGCACAAGCAGUGGAGUAUGUGGUUUAAUUCGAAGCAACGCGAAGAACCUUACCAGGUCUUGACAUCCGAUGCAUAGUGCAGAGAUGCAUGAAGUCCUUCGGGACAUCGAGACAGGUGGUGCAUGGUUGUCGUCAGCUCGUGUCGUGAGAUGUUGGGUUAAGUCCCGCAACGAGCGCAACCCUUAUUGCCAGUUACUACGCAAGAGGACUCUGGCGAGACUGCCGUUGACAAAACGGAGGAAGGUGGGGAUGACGUCAAAUCAUCAUGCCCUUUAUGACCUGGGCUACACACGUACUACAAUGGCGUUUAACAAAGAGAAGCAAGACCGCGAGGUGGAGCAAAACUCAAAAACAACGUCUCAGUUCAGAUUGCAGGCUGCAACUCGCCUGCAUGAAGUCGGAAUUGCUAGUAAUCGCGGAUCAGCAUGCCGCGGUGAAUACGUUCCCGGGCCUUGUACACACCGCCCGUCACACCAUGAGAGCCGGGGGGACCCGAAGUCGGUAGUCUAACCGCAAGGAGGACGCCGCCGAAGGUAAAACUGGUGAUCGGGGUGAAGUCGUAACAAGGUAACCA
RNAcentral lists this ribosomal RNA (852 nucleotides) under uncultured bacterium. RNAcentral's name for it is "bacterial SSU rRNA". It matches the Rfam family "Bacterial small subunit ribosomal RNA", at positions 644 to 1502 of the family's 1533-position model. The record is from RNAcentral.